UCAAUUCACAAGAAUUUCAUAACAUGUCCUAAGGCAAGUCUACAUUUCAAGCAGCAAACAUUGUGCUCGAUUUUAUCCUCCUGUUAAAUUCUCACUGAAAUUUAAAUACGUCAGAAUAUGAGUAAUACUACCUUCUACAGACCGUUGCUUUUUAAAAUAAAAAAAACGUAAGAUGGGGUCACUGAUAGCAUCUGCAAACUCAUUGUUGAGGACCUAGCAACACGGGUUUGGCCAGGCGCUCCUUAGUUAUGCUCCAGAGGAUGCACAAUAAUCAACCGCACCAAGGUCGACAUCAACAAGCAGGGCGUACAAAAUAGGUCCUGUAUUAAUCAGCUCGUGAAAAACUUGCAGUUGUCAAAUGAUUAACCAGUUUCCAUAGUACCGUCAUAAAUUUUAAUACAACAAACUUUUA
Achroia grisella is the source of this 412-nucleotide long non-coding RNA. RefSeq lists it as uncharacterized. Lineage: Eukaryota; Metazoa; Arthropoda; Insecta; Lepidoptera; Pyralidae. The transcript is spliced from 3 exons. The record is from RefSeq and is a predicted model, not a curated record.